RNAcentral lists this transfer RNA (68 nucleotides) under Murina leucogaster (Greater tube-nosed bat). Its description in RNAcentral is "tRNA-Val". It matches the Rfam family "tRNA". From Rfam's summary of the family: Transfer RNA (tRNA) molecules are approximately 80 nucleotides in length. Their secondary structure includes four short double-helical elements and three loops (D, anti-codon, and T loops). Further hydrogen bonds mediate the characteristic L-shaped molecular structure. tRNAs have two regions of fundamental functional importance: the anti-codon, which is responsible for specific mRNA codon recognition, and the 3' end, to which the tRNAs corresponding amino acid is attached (by aminoacyl-tRNA synthetases). tRNAs cope with the degeneracy of the genetic code in two manners: having more than one tRNA (with a specific anti-codon) for a particular amino acid; and 'wobble' base-pairing, i.e. permitting non-standard base-pairing at the 3rd anti-codon position. Lineage: Eukaryota; Metazoa; Chordata; Mammalia; Chiroptera; Vespertilionidae. The record is from RNAcentral.
CAAAGUGUAGCUUAAAUAAAAGCAUCUAGUUUACACCUAGAAGAUAUCAAAAACAAAGGUCGCUUUGA